Non-coding RNA from Arachis ipaensis, 831 nucleotides. The record is from RefSeq and is a predicted model, not a curated record. Lineage: Eukaryota; Viridiplantae; Streptophyta; Magnoliopsida; Fabales; Fabaceae.
CCCAAUCUCUAAUUACCAUACCUACACUACCGUUUUUUCCAUUAAUCACAGCCGCAUCAACAUUCAUCUUGUACUAUCUAGGGGGGAGGCACGAUCCAAGUGCUAGAGCUCAAACUCCCAGGAGGCGUCUUCUGCAUCGCUGUCGUAGAGUGUACGGGAUGGAUUGUGUCUUUGAGCGCUUUCUGAGUUUUUUGGAGAAGAUCUUCCAGUGCCAUUUGAACAUUCUCAAAGACAAGUUUGUUCCUCCCUUGCCAAAUACUAUGGAGCGCACACACAAAAAAAAAAUCACUCAUUUCCUCCCCAAUUUUGACCAACAUGGAACGAAUCCAAUCUUGGAGAAGAAUUUCAGUCGCCGCUUCUGUCCUUAGCGUGAGGGGCGAGAUAAACCAGAGCCUUUGUACCCACUCAUAGUCUCUUAAAAGGUGAGUAUCUUAUUCCUCCUUUUUCCAACAUCUAGGGCAAAUUCCUGAGCAUCUAAUUCCUCUCCUCUGCAAAUUCUUUUUCUAGAAUUGUUGUUCUGUUUGGAUUAAUGCACUGUUGUUCUCUGGUCCCUUGUUGUGGCUUCUAAUAAGAUGGCUUUGAUCAGCACUUGGCGCAAACACACGAUUAGGUACAAUCGGAUCUGGUUCACGACAGUGUACACGGACUUUCUAUCACUACCCUCCACAUUUCUGUUAGGUGUCGUGCCCUAGCAGAGUAAUAGAGAGAGGAACUAUGCUGUUAGAUUAUUAGACUAAAGAAAUUAGACUAAGAAAUUAAGUUGAUGGUUAAGUGAUGACCAAAAAUAAUAAAUUCUGAUAGUUUCUUAGUAUUCCUCAUAUAUAAAUAUAC